CGCCUACGGGGGGCAGCAGUAGGGAAUUUUCGUCAGUGGGCGCAAGCCUGAACGAGCAAUGCCGCGUGAACGAGGAAGGUCUUCGGAUCGUAAAGUUCUGUUGAAGGGGAAAAAGAGCGGAGAGAGGAAAUGGUCUCCGAUUGAUAUUACCCUUCGAGGAAGUCACGGCUAACUACGUGCCAGCAGCCGCGGUAAUACGUAGGGGCGGAGCGUUAUCGGGAAUGAUUGGGCGAAAAGGGUGCGAAGUCGGCCGGCUAAGUCUGGGGUGAAAGGUACGGGCGCAACCGGUA
Molecule: ribosomal RNA, 290 nt
Filed under: uncultured bacterium
Lineage: Bacteria
Description: partial 16S ribosomal RNA
Rfam family: Bacterial small subunit ribosomal RNA
Source: RNAcentral